UAGCGGUGAUUUCAGAGCUCGAGGCAGAGAUGGUGGAGCUCGGGCGAGCUCGAGACUAUGGAUCCAGGGCUUGAGUGCUCACGGGAUGGAGGUGCUCAGGAUGGAGGCAGGGGAGGGCGCCCUGCGGGAAGUGAUUUAUGUGCUCCUUGAUCAGUUUUUUUAUAACUGAUGGCAUCUUACAUUGUUGUCUUUUACCGAUUAACUGGUUAACUCUUUUCCUAAAUGGUCUUAGAUUUCUGCUUUCUAUUUGCGCCAGUUUCUUUUUACAAGAGAUGAGAUCUUACACAAUAUAUUUUUGCCUUGGUUGAUCUAAUUAAAAUUUUCCUUCAGCACGUGCAUAUGAUGUUAAUAUAAAGCUAUUUGGAAGUACAUAUCCAUGGGCGAAAAAAUAUUAUCAUGUAUUUUGUCUGUCAUUUUGCUUGUGUUGAUGUAGUUUAUUGAGCUUUUUCACACGUCAUGAUAUUAUGCCUUAAUUUCUACUAGGCUGCUUUUACAUUUAAAAUUCAUUGUACAAACAUUAUUUACCUAAUUUAUGGAAACAAUAAAUUUGUAGCUCAGGUCAUCUAGGAGAUAAUGUAAACCAAGUCGCUCACCGGUUUAAGAUGGUGUUUAAAGAUUUACUUUGUUCCAGCGACUACUUUGGAUCACAGGAAACUAAAAAAAAAGAGGGCGUCGCCACCACCAUCAUCAGGCUGGCCCACAUCCACGCGCUGCUCGGCGUCACCAAGUCACCGGCACAACUCCUCACGCCCAGGUCGUUCAACAUUUUCUUCCGCUUUUGGUGCGUCACAUUUAGAGUCUUUCUUUCCCAUUUUACCGUGUUUGCAUGGUAAGAUAUUUGGUCGGAUUUGAAGGUUCGUAGCCUUGGCUCCAAAGCUUCAAGCUCUUAUAGAAAUUAGAACUGGGCCUUUUAAAAUAAGUCCUGCAUAAUAGUGUUGUUCAGUGGGAUGCAGAAUUUUUUUUGUCUGAUCGGCUAUCCUUGGUGCUGAUUUAAGUACUGAUUUCAUUAUCAUAUGACUACAAUAAAGAAGCUGUGUGUAUAAAUAUUACUAACUGCUGAUAGUUUGCAUCAGUGAUUUCAA
Molecule: long non-coding RNA, 1082 nt
Organism: Triticum dicoccoides
Lineage: Eukaryota; Viridiplantae; Streptophyta; Magnoliopsida; Poales; Poaceae
Exons: 2
Source: RefSeq, a predicted model, not a curated record